UCCAGACUCCUACGGGAGGCAGCAGUGGGGGAUAUUGCACAAUGGGGGGAACCCUGAUGCAGCGACGCCGCGUGGGUGAAGGAGCGUUUCGGCGCGUAAAGCCCUAUCGGCAGGGAAGAAGGAGGACGGUACCUGACUAAGAAGCCCCGGCUAACUACGUGCCAGCAGCCGCGGUAAUACGUAGGGGGCAAGCGUUAUCCGGAUUUACUGGGUGUAAAGGGGGCGCAGACGGCAGCGCAAGCCAGGAGUGAAAGCCCGGGGCCCAACCCCGGGACUGCUCUUGGAACUGCGCGGCUGGAGUGCAGGAGGGGCAGGCGGAAUUCCUGGUGUAGCGGUGAAAUGCGUAGAUAUCAGGAGGAACACCGGUGGCGAAGGCGGCCUGCUGGACUGCAACUGACGUUGAGGCCCGAAAGCGUGGGGAGCAAACAGGAUUAGAUACCCUCGUAAA
Molecule: ribosomal RNA, 448 nt
Filed under: uncultured bacterium
Lineage: Bacteria
Description: partial 16S ribosomal RNA
Rfam family: Bacterial small subunit ribosomal RNA
Source: RNAcentral